Molecule: ribosomal RNA, 588 nt
Filed under: Torulaspora delbrueckii
Lineage: Eukaryota; Fungi; Ascomycota; Saccharomycetes; Saccharomycetales; Saccharomycetaceae
Description: eukaryotic LSU rRNA
Rfam family: Eukaryotic large subunit ribosomal RNA
Source: RNAcentral
GGGGAAAAGAAACCAACCGGGAUUGCCUUAGUAACGGCGAGUGAAGCGGCAAAAGCUCAAAUUUGAAAUCYGGUACCUUCGGUGCCCGAGUUGUAAUUUGUAGAAGGUAACUUUGGGGCUGGUCCUUGUCUAUGUUCCUUGGAACAGGACGUCAUAGAGGGUGAGAAUCCCGUGUGGCGAGGAUCCCAGUUCUUUGUAAAGUGCUUUCGAAGAGUCGAGUUGUUUGGGAAUGCAGCUCUAAGUGGGUGGUAAAUUCCAUCUAAAGCUAAAUAUUGGCGAGAGACCGAUAGCGAACAAGUACAGUGAUGGAAAGAUGAAAAGAACUUUGAAAAGAGAGUGAAAAAGUACGUGAAAUUGUUGAAAGGGAAGGGCAUUUGAUCAGACAUGGUGUUUUGCGCCCUCUGCUCCUUGUGGGUGGGGGAAUCUCGCAGCUCACUGGGCCAGCAUCAGUUUUGGCGGCAGGAUAAAUCUGCAGGAAUGUAGCUUGCCUCGGUAAGUGUUAUAUCCUGUAGAAAUACUGCCAGCUGGGACUGAGGACUGCGACUUUACGUCAAGGAUGCUGGCAUAAUGGUUAUAUGCCGCCCGUCU